This is a long non-coding RNA of Anguilla rostrata (American eel), 3081 nucleotides long. RefSeq lists it as uncharacterized. The transcript has 2 exons. Lineage: Eukaryota; Metazoa; Chordata; Actinopteri; Anguilliformes; Anguillidae. The record is from RefSeq and is a predicted model, not a curated record.
UGUGUGCGUGUGGAUGUGGGGGUGUGUGUGAGUCUGUGUGUGGGUGUGUGUGCGUGUGUGUGUGUGUGUAUGAGUCUGUGUGUGUGUGUGUGCGCUUGUGUGUGUUUGUCUGUGUGUGCGUGUGUGCGCUUGUGUGUGUUUGCGUGUGUGCUUGCUUCCUCAGCAUACUCUACACGCACUCAAGCCGUACUCAUGAAGCCGCUCUGAUUUGUGUGGGAAAUUGAGGUUUCCAGGGUUACACAGUUCUGUUCUUUCUUGAUUGGUUUGUGCAGAUAUGGGGAAGGGGGCUGGUACAGAUAUAAUGUAAAGGGCCAGGAUGUACACGCACGCUGCUGAUUGGUUUGUGCAGAUAUGGGGAAGGGGGCUGGUACAGAUAUAAUGUAAAGAGGCUGGAUGUACACGCACGCUGCUGAUUGGUUAGUGCAGAUAUGGGGAAGGGGGCUGGUACAGAUAUAAUGGGGCUGGAUGUACACGCACGCUGCUGAUUGGUUUGUGCAGAUAUGGGGAAGGGGGCUGGUACAGAUAUAAUGUAAAGGGGCAGGAUGCACGCUGCUGAUUGGUUAAAAGCGCUGGGUGGAAUGUGUUCUCUGACUCUGAGGCAGCGGUGGUGGUGUUGGGUUACUAUCAGUCUGCCAUCAGGUGACUAUAAAGCAGCAGAACCUCCUCUCACACGCCGCACACUGAAGCAGCAGAACCUCCUCUCACACGCCGCACACUGAAGCAGCAGAACCUCCUCUCACACGCCGCACACUGAAGCAGCAGAUCCUCCUCUCACACGCCGCACACUGAAGCAGCAGAACCUCCUCUCACACACCGCACACUGAAGCAGCAGAACCUCCUCUCACACGCCGCACACUGAAGCAGCAGAACCUCCUCUCACACACCGCACACUGAAGCAGCAGAACCUCCUCUCACACGCCGCACACUGAAGCAGCAGAACCUCCUCUCACACGCCGCACACUGAAGCAGCAGAACCUCCUCUCACACGCCGCACACUGAAGCAGCAGAACCUCCUCUCACACGCCGCACACUGAAGCAGCAGAACCUCCUCUCACACGCCGCACACUGAAGCAGCAGAUCCUCCUUUCACACACCGCACACUGAAGCAGCAGAACCUCCUCUCACACACCGCACACUGAAGCAGCAGAACCUCCUCUCACACGCCGCACACUGAAGCACCAGAACCUCCUCUCACACGCCGCACACUGAAGCAGCAGAACCUCCUCUCACACGCCGCACACUGAAGCAGUAGAACCUCCUCUCACACGCCGCACACUGAAGCAGCAGGCGGGCUUUAUUACAUGCCCCCCCCCCCCCGGUAAGGGGACCCUGAAAAGCAGCCCAGCGCCUAACGCUGACCGGAAUGUGUGAGCUGACCGCUAGGUGUGAAGUGUUCUGGGAAGUGCAAUCUCAGAUUCUCCUCAGCGCCGGAGUGCGCUCGGUUCGACAGAGUCGCGUUCAUUAAAGCGCGUGCACACCGUAAACACACUCGCAGUACUUCCACGGGGUUCACCGUCCAUCGGAUGAGAGGGGCAGUCCCUUUGUGUCUGACUCCGGUCUCUUAAUGUAAGCACGUCUUUGGGUAACGUUUUUGCUUAUUGAAUUGUAGUCUGGUUCUGCGGGAAGUUUUCUUUUUUAUACACAACAAAAUGGAGGCCGUGCGCUGGUAUGCAAUGCUAGUUGACUGGUCAUACCGCCCGUUUUUACUGUGUGCCUCAUAACCGACCACACCCGGGUAUAUCGGCACAAACGAGUUCCGUUAUUUCAAGCUUCCACCGGCGGAACGAUGCGAGAGGCUGCAAAAACGUCUGGGGAGACGGAGAAAACAUUUCUGUGGCAAAAGAGACUGUGCUUUACGGGUUACUGUUUCAGUUAGGGGGGAAAAAGGAAAGAAAGAAAAGUGUGAUUUAAAAGGGUCACAGAAGUAGAUAUGGGUCUGGGCAGCACACGGUGGUUUGGAAUGGCUCAGUGAGGCCUUAACUGCAUCAUUUAUGGCCCUCUUUCUCUUCAGACGCCCCCCCCCGCCCCCCCCUUUGGGCUCCCGGAGGUUCACUGCCAGUUUAGAAAGACAGUUUGGCUUCACUUCCCCCUCUAAGCUGUUUGAGAACUUCAGAUGGUCAACAAAAAAAUAAUUUUUGUUUUCUGAAAGUAAUUGAAGAAAUGAAAAUGCGCUUCUUAACGAGAGCGUGAGGGCGGAGGUAGCCGGGGGCAACGGGGCCUGCAGCGGCUCUGCCUUUGAGAACGCCCCCACCGCGCCCUUGCAGAAGGACCCAGGAGAUCGACUGUCCCCCCAGCCUAAUCUGCAGUCUCUUCCCUGGGGGGUUCUUUUUAUAUGCUCCCUCCCCUUAAUGAGCCAUGGAGGGUAGGCAUAAUGGUAAAGGACAGAAGUGGUGUUGAACAGAUAUUGCGUUGGGACAAGUUUAACGGCAUACUAUGCAGGAUGAUUUUUAACCUUGAAAAGAUCAUAAAAUAACCAUCCUAAGGCACAUCUGUGUUGUUUUGGCAAUCUCUGUCUUUACGCACUUUCACCAAGUUCAUUCACCUGUUGAUCCUGUGAGUAACAUUUCCUCUAGCCAUCCAGCUAAGCCUCCAGAGAUUUUUUGACCGAAAUGUCAGGUUUUCAAAUUACAUUUGAAAACACUUCCGGCUUGUGGUCCUGACUGAACGAUGUAAUGUCGGCCUGAGUGAUUGUUGGGAGAAAUUUACCAGUAGUUUCAAAUUAAUUAGCCGUUCUGUGACUCAGUCGGGUUGCUCAGGGAUGAAGUUGGUCGAAGAUGGAGGAGGAGACUUGUUUGAUUGUGAACUCAGGACCACAGCAAGGCUAAAGAAGCCUGCAUAGUAUGCCUUUAAGCUGUUUGCUCACGGUCACUCUAGAAAGGUGAGCCCGGUGUUGGUGUAAAAAGGGCUCUCUGCUAAGCACAGGACAGGGUGACAUGUUGGUGAUGGAUCACUCCUGAAGGUUUUUAUUUCAAAUUCAAUUUCAAGGUGUUUUAUUGGCAUGAUGUGCACUGAGUUACAAAGAACAACAGUAAUAGCAAAAAAUAGAUAAAUAAAUUAAAAAAUGUAAAAAUAAAAUAAAAU